RNAcentral lists this ribosomal RNA (253 nucleotides) under uncultured bacterium. RNAcentral's name for it is "partial 16S ribosomal RNA". It matches the Rfam family "Bacterial small subunit ribosomal RNA", at positions 524 to 776 of the family's 1533-position model. The record is from RNAcentral.
UACAGAGGGUGCGAGCGUUAAUCGGAAUUACUGGGCGUAAAGCGUGCGUAGACGGUUACGUAAGUCGGGUGUGAAAGCCCCGGGCUCAACCUGGGAAUUGCAUUCGAGACUGCGCAGCUAGGGUGCGGAAGAGGGAAGCGGAAUUUCCGGUGUAGCGGUGAAAUGCGUAGAUAUCGGAAGGAACAUCAGUGGCGAAAGCGGCUUCCUGGUCCAGCACCGACGUUCAGGCACGAAAGCGUGGGGAGCAAACAGG